AGGGUCUUAGAGUUCUGUAAUUUUCAGACUUUUUGUAAGCAGUAGACCCAUUUUUCAGGUCACUUUCAUGAAUUCAAAGGCAAUUUACCAGUGAUUUCUGGGUGCUGGGGCUGAUUUUUUUUUGUGCGUAUUU
Molecule: long non-coding RNA, 133 nt
Filed under: Sus scrofa (pig)
Lineage: Eukaryota; Metazoa; Chordata; Mammalia; Artiodactyla; Suidae
Description: lncRNA (ENSSSCG00060000158.1)
Source: RNAcentral